This 239-nucleotide long non-coding RNA is filed under the name Panax ginseng (ginseng). RNAcentral's name for it is "long non-coding RNA (PGIN_LNC002489)". The record is from RNAcentral. Lineage: Eukaryota; Viridiplantae; Streptophyta; Magnoliopsida; Apiales; Araliaceae.
AUUUUGUACACGAGUCUCCCUCAUCUGAUUUUGCAUGAACUGCAAAAAUCUUCUAAACAUUCCGUCGUUCAUCGUCUGAUCAGUGGUGUUGUUUACAGGAGGAACAUUGCCGGCCUGUUGCACAUUCUCCUCAUUGGUGAGUAAAGGUGUCUCCACGGUCUCAUUUGCUCCACUGUUAACAUUCUCAGUUGCCAUUCUCAAAUACUGUCAUAAAACAAGGGUUAGUUAAAGAAAUUAAC